GCCCUCAACUAGCUCAGUUGGUAGAGCACAAGGUUCUUAACCUUGAGGUCGUGGGAUCGAGUCCCACGGAGGGCA
Non-coding RNA from Hibiscus syriacus, 75 nucleotides. The record is from the annotation of a RefSeq genome assembly. NCBI's taxonomy places the organism in Eukaryota, Viridiplantae, Streptophyta, Magnoliopsida, Malvales, Malvaceae.